GGUAAAAAAGCUCGUAGUUGGAUUUCUGUUGAGGGCGACCGGUCCAUACAACGUAUGCGUAUCUGGCUCGGCCUCGGCAUCCUCUCGAUAGACGUUUCUGCGCUUGAUUGCGUGGAGCGGAUCUCGGGACUUUUACUUUGAGGAAAUUAGAGUGUUCACGGCAGGCUAUCGCCAGAAUACAUUAGCAUGGAAUAAUACUAUAGGAUCUUGAUUCUAUUUUGUUGGUUUCUAGAAUUGAGAUAAUGAUUAAUAGGGACAAUUGGGGGCAUUCGUAUCAACACGUCAGAGGUGGAAUUCUUGGAUUGUGUUGCGACGAACUACUGCGAAAGCAUUUGCCAAGGAUGUUUUCAUUGAUCAAGAACGAAAGUAAGGGGAUCGAAGACGAUUAGAUACCGUCGUAGUCUUUACCAUAAACUAUGCCAACUAGAGAUGGGGCAUCGUUCACUUACGACUUGCUCCGCACCUUAUGAGAUAUCAAAGUCUUUGGGUUCCGGGGGGAGUAUGGUCGCAAGGCUGAAACUUAAAGGAAUUGACGGAAGGGCACCACCAGGAGUGGAGCCUGCGGCUUAAUUUGACUCAACACGGGGAAACUCACCAGGUCCAGACAUAAUAAGGAUUGACAGAUUGAUAGCUCUUUCUUGAUUUUAUGGGUGGUGGUGCAUGGCCGUUCUUAGUUCGUGGAGUGAUUCGUCUGCUUAAUUGCGUUAACGA
RNAcentral lists this ribosomal RNA (711 nucleotides) under uncultured marine alveolate. RNAcentral's name for it is "SSU rRNA". It matches the Rfam family "Eukaryotic small subunit ribosomal RNA", at positions 617 to 1334 of the family's 1831-position model. The record is from RNAcentral.